GCUAAAGUAAACUAUAUAGGUUGUUGGGCUCAUACCCCGAACGAAGAACUAUGUUCUCUUUAGCU
Molecule: transfer RNA, 65 nt
Filed under: Gari elongata
Lineage: Eukaryota; Metazoa; Mollusca; Bivalvia; Cardiida; Psammobiidae
Description: tRNA-Met
Source: RNAcentral